AUUGAACGCUGGCGGCAUGCUUUACACAUGCAAGUCGAACGGUAACAGGUUAAGCUGACGAGUGGCGAACGGGUGAGUAAUGCAUCGGAACGUGCCCGAUCGUGGGGGAUAACGCAGCGAAAGCUGCGCUAAUACCGCAUACGAUCUGAGGAUGAAAGCGGGGGACCGUAAGGCCUCGCGCGAUCGGAGCGGCCGAUGUCAGAUUAGGUAGUUGGUGGGGUAAAGGCUCACCAAGCCGACGACCUGUAGCUGGUCUGAGAGGACGACCAGCCACACUGGGACUGAGACACGGCCCAGACUCCUACGGGAGGCAGCAGUGGGGAAUUUUGGACAAUGGGCGCGAGCCUGAUCCAGCAAUGCCGCGUGCAGGAAGAAGGCCUUCGGGUUGUAAACCGCUUUUGUACGGAGCGAAAAGGCUCUCUCUAAUACAGGGGGUUCAUGACGGUACCGUAAGAAUAAGCACCGGCUAACUACGUGCCAGCCGCCGCCGCAG
This 493-nucleotide ribosomal RNA is filed under the name uncultured bacterium. RNAcentral describes it as "partial 16S ribosomal RNA". It matches the Rfam family "Bacterial small subunit ribosomal RNA", at positions 29 to 523 of the family's 1533-position model. The record is from RNAcentral.